ACUUUCAAAGGAUAAUAGUAAUCCAAUGGUCUUAGGAGCCACAUAUCUUGGUGCAAAUCCAAGUGAAAGUA
This 71-nucleotide transfer RNA is filed under the name Smicrornis brevirostris (Weebill). Its description in RNAcentral is "tRNA-Leu". It matches the Rfam family "tRNA". Rfam says of the family: Transfer RNA (tRNA) molecules are approximately 80 nucleotides in length. Their secondary structure includes four short double-helical elements and three loops (D, anti-codon, and T loops). The record is from RNAcentral. Lineage: Eukaryota; Metazoa; Chordata; Aves; Passeriformes; Acanthizidae.